AUCAAAUGUGUUACUUUAUAGUGACACUUUAAAAUAUAUUUUUUUUUCGUAAAUUUCCAGAAAUUUUUCUAAAAGAAAACAAAAUUUUUUUCAUACAUAUUGAUAUGUAUGGAUUUUUCGUCGAUUUUUGGUAUAGAGACAACAAUAUGAAACCAUAAUGCAAUCAUAAUUGCAUUUUUACUACAUCAAAUAAGAAGAAAAAGUAGCCGAAUAACAACAAUAACUGCAAUAACAACAUUUUUAUUAGCAGAACAAAAGGGAGAGUGCAACACAAAGGACGAUGUAUGGAUGUGUAGAUAGAAAAUAGAAGCAUCUCUGCCUGAAAGAAGGAGUAUAGAACUGCAUAUAUAUGUAUGACAAGGUGUUGCCUACAGCUGAGGCACAGAUACAGAAAGUAAGAUCAUAAAUGAGAUCGCUUUCCGCAUGUUUGGACUUCGACCGCUCGCGAAUUCCCUUGCACACUACUGGCCAAAUCUGCCGGAAAUCCCCUGCUAACAAUAUAGUAGAGUUCUCCAAAAGCAUGAUGGGGCCGCUAAGCCGAUAUCAUAUCUGCUUCUUUACUUUGGCCAACAAUACAUAACGUAUAGUAGAUGUGUCUUGUGUAUACUAUCAGGAAAAUUCAAACAAAAAAAGGUAUCUCCAAACCCUGCUUUCUGCUAAGCAAUUUUAGGCCGAUAAAUACCUUUCUAUCACAAUUUAUGUUAACUAAACAAUAAAUAAGAAUUUUUCGAAUUGAUGUCCACUUCUCGGAAGAAAAAAGGAAAAAGUAUUCUCCAUGUCAGUUUAGGCAAAGAGCUGCCUCUGUACCAAUUUUCCCGUAACCCUAAUGAUUUAAAAAUAAUUUCAAUUGUUUCCAAUAGAUCGGUCUCAGGUCAAUUUCACAGAGAGUCCUUUUUUACCAUACUCAAAAGACAUCCUGGCAUUCAAGCAGUGGUAUGACCCUCAAAGAUUCAAGUCUCUACGAUCACUGGUUUGGACUGUUUGUUGAUCCGUCAGCCAUUCAGGACAAAGCCUUAUAUAUAUAUGUAUAUAAUAAUAAAAAAUCCACUAGCCUUAAUUACAACAAAAGUGAAUCGCUUACUAUGCAACUACGUUAAGGACAAUUCUCCAAAUGAUAAACAUAAUCGAACUGUGUUUCCCAUAAAAAUUGAAGCAGUUUGUAGAAAAGAAAUUGCUGAUUUAGCUUCAUCAUUAAAUUUUUACCACUUCCAUGCAGCUGCCAAGAGAGCAAAGGGAAACAUAUCGAUGUAAGAUUACAAAUUUACUUACUGCUUAUAUGUAUGUACACGUAUGCUAUAUGUAUUUACGCCUGACAUUUACGACAUGCUCAUAACGCCAACAACUGCAAAUGAGCCAAUAAUAAAAAUCGCAUGAAAAUCUAUAAAAUAAUGAAUGACCAGAAGACUGCGACACAAUACCAAAUGAUGAUGUUGCCGUUGUAAACCAGGUCUAAAGGCGUAGAAGAAAAAAUGUACAAAGCGGACAUGAGCCAGGUUUGCCUGUGAAGCAAAAGAAGAUCCUUCGC
This is a long non-coding RNA of Ceratitis capitata (Mediterranean fruit fly), 1525 nucleotides long. RefSeq lists it as uncharacterized. The transcript has 3 exons. The record is from RefSeq and is a predicted model, not a curated record. NCBI's taxonomy places the organism in Eukaryota, Metazoa, Arthropoda, Insecta, Diptera, Tephritidae.